This 64-nucleotide microRNA precursor is filed under the name Monopterus albus (swamp eel). RNAcentral's name for it is "Mal-Mir-142-P2-v4_pre stem-loop". It matches the Rfam family "mir-142 microRNA precursor family", at positions 14 to 75 of the family's 85-position model. Lineage: Eukaryota; Metazoa; Chordata; Actinopteri; Synbranchiformes; Synbranchidae. The record is from RNAcentral.
UCCAUAAAGUAGAAAGCACUACUAAACUCCUCACCACAGUGUAGUGUUUCCUACUUUAUGGAUG